AUGACUACACCGAAUUACCACCCCACGCCGCCCAAAGUAGCUCCCAGGUCGGUGAAGCCGACGGAGCCGUCAUCUUCGAAGCCUGCGUCGGUGAAUCCUGAGAUGAAAGAGAAGGGCACGUCAGAGAAGCCGACGAAAGAGAAGGGCACGUCGGAGAAGCCAGCGAAGCAAAAGAUGAAAGCGAACGGCAAUGGAGCCGGUCGCCAUCGAGAGAAUCCUCGGGGAACUCAGGUUUCUUCUUUGCUGCAAUACGAGAAGUUCAUAAAAGAACUAAACGCACAACAACUGACAUACAUCAAGUUGAUUGGACUGGGUGAACUUCUCAAGACUCCUGGCAUGAGAAUGAGACGUCUAUUGUGGCAGGCCAUCACUUAUUCAUAUGAUGCAGAGCAGGAUGCCUUUAUAAUUAAUGGGAGACCAUGUAGGAUCACACUAAAAGAUGUGGAGCAUAUAACAGGCCUGCCCUACAUAGGGAAGAAUCACGUCUCUUCAAAUCACAACGAUACUUUGGAGUUGUGGAAGGAACUGAAAGACCCCAAUGACACAAAAGUAACUUUGAAAGGAUUGCUAGCCAAGAUGAAAGGCGACAGAACACCUAAUUUUGUCAGGCCAUUUGUCUUGUACACCAUAGGAAAAUAUGUAUGCCCGACAACGCAGCAGUAUGUGGACAACAGAUACCUUGGGAUUGUUAGAAACGUUGAGACAAUAAAGAGCACCAAUUUUGGACAGCUUACAUUUGACCAUCUUAUGGCUAGCGUCAGGAAAUUUGUAAAUGGUGGAGCAAAUCUGGAGGGCAACCUACCACUGCUGCAGACGUGGUACUACGAGAAGUGGAGGGUGCACCAAUUGGACUCUACCAUCUCGUAUGCAUCAAGGUUAAGGCCGCUGAUCCAAAACUGGAGUGACAAGAAGGCACAGAAGGUUGACAACAUAAUCAACAAAAAUUAUAUAGGGGUUGGAGAGUAUGUCGAUGACCUGCUGCGGCCUUUCAAUCCGCCACCAGUUGGGACGCCGGUCAAACCAAAGACUGACGGUCAGGAUGAAGAAGACAGAGUUGUUGCUGCAGCUUGCAAGGAGAGUCUCAAGAAUGUUUCACAGCUUUAUAAAGAGCUGGAUGCUUCGCAGGGUGCUCCGAGUUUGGAUUCGCGAAAGCAUUCCAAAGCCACCACAAGCCUUGAAGCUUUCCUGGAUCCUCUGAAUUUGAGGCACAAUGAGAAUGUGCGAAAGGCUGAAGAAAGAAGAGAUCAAGAUGAUGAAGAUGCCAGUAUUGAGGUGGGGGAGAGGCAGGUACCAAAAGCAAACACCGGUCUGCCAAGGCUAAGGGAAUAA
Molecule: ribosomal RNA, 1329 nt
Filed under: Triticum aestivum (bread wheat)
Lineage: Eukaryota; Viridiplantae; Streptophyta; Magnoliopsida; Poales; Poaceae
Description: partial small subunit ribosomal RNA
Source: RNAcentral